Molecule: transfer RNA, 73 nt
Filed under: Mustela putorius furo (domestic ferret)
Lineage: Eukaryota; Metazoa; Chordata; Mammalia; Carnivora; Mustelidae
Rfam family: tRNA
About the family: Transfer RNA (tRNA) molecules are approximately 80 nucleotides in length. Their secondary structure includes four short double-helical elements and three loops (D, anti-codon, and T loops). Further hydrogen bonds mediate the characteristic L-shaped molecular structure. tRNAs have two regions of fundamental functional importance: the anti-codon, which is responsible for specific mRNA codon recognition, and the 3' end, to which the tRNAs corresponding amino acid is attached (by aminoacyl-tRNA synthetases). tRNAs cope with the degeneracy of the genetic code in two manners: having more than one tRNA (with a specific anti-codon) for a particular amino acid; and 'wobble' base-pairing, i.e. permitting non-standard base-pairing at the 3rd anti-codon position.
Source: Rfam by way of RNAcentral
ACCUGGCUGGUUCAGUCAGUAGAACAUGAAACUCUCAAUCUCAGGGUUGUGGGCUCAAGCCCCACAUUGGGUG